Molecule: long non-coding RNA, 2440 nt
Organism: Lampris incognitus (smalleye Pacific opah)
Lineage: Eukaryota; Metazoa; Chordata; Actinopteri; Lampriformes; Lampridae
Exons: 3
Source: RefSeq, a predicted model, not a curated record
AGACAGACAGACAGACAGACAGACAGACGGACGGACAAACACGGAUGGACAGGUUUUCCUCACAGGGGCCUCAGCUGUGGAGAAAAAGACAAAUUCAUUGACCAAUAACGAUGACGUCCUCAGGAAAUAGUUUGUCGGAAGAGAAAGAGGAUAUUGAGUAAAUCAAUAUGUUCAUGAUAGUAGGCAGCGCCUGGCUCUAGAAUGUUCUCUCACGUCAGCUUUGAGGAUCAAAAUGUUUUCAGGGCAGUGCAGGGUACGGUACGGGUCUCCAUGGGUUUAGCUUGUUGGUAAGGUGGUGGUGAGAUCCAGUCUCUCGAGGGUCCGGGUUGAAGGGGUCUUCUAUAUGACUGAUGGGAAGUUGAUGCCAGUCUGGUCUGCUUGUCUUCGAAGCUGAGUGAGAAUCACACGUGGGGCCGAGUCAAAGAUCUCGUAAAGAAGACAAAGCUGAGGAACCAGAACCAGCUGGGACUGACCUCCGCCUCCCUUAAGAUGUCCUGUCCGCAGCUUUACAGGCCUGAUCUGGGACCAGUGGACCUUUCCAGUAGAACCAGGAACUCUAUGAUCUCUUUGGGUCAACACAGCAAGUUGGACUUCCCCUGGCUUCACUGACCCCACAGGACUCCCCCGAGGUGAAGAGUCAGCACUCUGCUGCAUGCUGCCCUCACCCAGCUGCUCGUCUCCUACCAAGAUAUGAUCCAGAUGGUGGAGGAGGAAGAGGAGGAGGACACCGUGAAGUUGCACAUAGAUUCAAGACUGGAAAAGAAGGGACUGAAAUGAGAGUGGCGGGAAUAGGGAGUAGAAAAGUCAACGAGGGAGUGGUGUUGCAGGAUAAGGGAAAGUACUGUCACAAGCCAGGGCACCAUAACAGUUGUAUUUGUGUUGUAUCAAAGUGUGCUUGGAGAUGAUCUGUUUAUUUGUGUGUUUUAUGACAAGAAUGCUGACGUGAACUUGAGGUUAUGAUGCAUUUUCUAAAGGCUUCCGUAUGAAAACAAGUAUGAACAGCUGCCAGGUGAUUAACCCAGGUGAUUAACCCAGGUGAUUAACCCAGGUUAUUAGUCCAGGUUAUUAGUCCAGGUUAUUAGUCCAGGUUAUUAAUCCAGUCGUGUUCACUGAGAUGUUAUGACCACUGUCAAACACAUCAUAGGCCUUCACAAGUGUUUCGUGAUUUAACAAACUCCUUCAUUCUUAUGUAACUACACAGCGCCGAUAUGUAUGUUGUUUAAACAGAAGUGUAACGUUUCCAUCACAGUGUGAGUUGUGUGUCAUAAAACUGUCAGCAGUUAAUGUAAAACAUACAUACAUGUAUCUCAUAUCAUGACCUUUCCUUUUACUUUCAUUUUAUAGUGUGUGCGUGCGCAUGCAUUUGGCAUGAUCCUGUGUGUGCAUAUGUGUGUGCAUAUUGGUAUGUGGUUUGUGUGUGUGGGCGGGUGGGAUGCACAUGUGUAAUGUUAUGUUAUGUUAUGUUAUGUUAUGUUGUGUUAUGUUACAAUAUGUUAUGUUGCGUUGUGUUGUGUUGUGUUAUGUUACGUUACAUUACGUUGCGUUGUGUUGUGUUGCGUUAUGUUACGUUACAUUACGUUGCGUUGCGUUGUGUUGUGUUAUGUUAUGUUAUGUAAUGUUAAGUUUAUGGCAGGGUGCAUGAACAGUCAAUAUGUACAGUGCAGGAUCCAGGCUCCUGUGGACUCCAGUGUUUAACAGUGAUGCAUCAUGUUGACGUAUGAGUGGAAGAUGGAGCAGGAGAUAACACCACGGGCCUCUCUGAUAGCUGGUCUUACAUAACCCUGCAGACUUCCAGUGUGCUUCCAUCUUCUGUGGGAUGAGGAAUUCUCUUCCUAUCAGCACACCCUGCCGCAACUCUGCCCAUACAUAGAGAGUAAUGAGAAGAGGCUGCAGAGCAGUGAUACAUCUUGAUGUUACUCAACACUGUGUGUCAGGCAGACAGUACCGGGGGUAGCUGACAUGUGCAGAGAGAGGGAAAUGUGCAGAGACAGAUAUGCACACACAGAGACAGAUAUGCACACACAGAGAGAAAUGUGCACACACAGAGAGAAAUGUGCACACACAGAGAGAUGUGCACAGAGAUGUGCACACAGAGAGAUGUGCACACAGAGAGAGAAAUGUGCACACAGAGAGAUGUGCACACAGAGAAAUGUGCACAGAAAAAUGUGCACAGAAAUGUGCAGAGAGAAAUGUGCAGAGAGAGAAAUGUGCACACAGAGAGAGAUAUGUGCACAAAGACGAAAAUGUGCACAGGGAAAUGUCCACAGAGAGAAAUGUGCAGAGAGAGAAAUAUGCACAGAGAGAGAGAUGUGCACACAGACAGAAAUCAGCACACAGAGAAAUGUGCACAUAGAGAGACGUGUACAGAGAGAGAAAUGUGCAUAGAGAGAGACGUGUACAGAGAGAGAAAUGUGCAUAGAGAGACGUGUACAGAGAGAGA